GCAACUCGCCUGCAUGAAGUCGGAAUUGCUAGUAAUCGCGGAUCAGCAUGCCGCGGUGAAUGCGUUCCCGGGUCUUGUACACACCGCCCGUCACACCAUGGGAGUCGGAAAUGCCCGAAGUCUGUGACCCCAACCGGAAGGAGGGAGCAGCCGAAGGCAGGUCGGAUGACUGGGGUGAAGUCGUAACAAGGUAGC
This 195-nucleotide ribosomal RNA is filed under the name uncultured bacterium. RNAcentral's name for it is "partial 16S ribosomal RNA". It matches the Rfam family "Bacterial small subunit ribosomal RNA", at positions 1307 to 1500 of the family's 1533-position model. The record is from RNAcentral.